RNAcentral lists this ribosomal RNA (253 nucleotides) under uncultured bacterium. Its description in RNAcentral is "partial 16S ribosomal RNA". It matches the Rfam family "Bacterial small subunit ribosomal RNA", at positions 524 to 776 of the family's 1533-position model. The record is from RNAcentral.
UACGGAGGGUGCAAGCGUUAAUCGGAAUUACUGGGCGUAAAGAGCAUGUAGGCUGUUUAUCAAGUCAGAUGUGAAAUACCUAAGCUUAACUUAGGAACUGCAUUUGAAACUAAUAAACUAGAGUUUUGUAGAGGAAAGUAGAAUUCCAGGUGUAGCGGUGAAAUGCGUAGAUAUCUGGAGGAAUAUCAGUGGCGAAGGCGGCUUUCUAGACAAAAACUGACGCUGAGAUGCGAAAGCGUAGGUAGCAAACAGG